AUUAAACGCUGGCGGCAUGCCUAAUACAUGCAAGUCGGACGGGGGUAGCAAUACCCUAGUGGCGAACGGGUGAGUAACACGUGGGAAAUCUGCCUUUAAGUCGAGGAUAACUGCUGGAAACGCAGCUAAAACUGGAUAGGUUAUAUUGGGGCAUCCUGAUAUAAUUAAAAGUCCUUUACGGGAAUGCUUAAAGAGUGAUCCUGCGUCGCAUUAGCUAGUUGGUGAGGUAGCGGCUCACCAAGGCGACGAUGCGUAGCUGUGCUGAGAGGCAAAACAGCCACACUGGGACUGAGACACGGCCCAGACUCCUACGGGAGGCAGCAGUAGGGAAUUUUGGACAAUGGGCGAAAGCCUGAUCCAGCGAUGCCGCGUGGGUGAAGAAGGCCUGCGGGUUGUAAAGCCCUUUCGAUGGGGAAAAGCCUGGAGCCAAUACCUCCGGGUCUUGACGUUACCCAGAGAAGAAGCACCGGCUAACUCCGUGCCAGCAGCCGCGGUAAAC
RNAcentral lists this ribosomal RNA (499 nucleotides) under uncultured bacterium. Its description in RNAcentral is "bacterial SSU rRNA". It matches the Rfam family "Bacterial small subunit ribosomal RNA", at positions 30 to 525 of the family's 1533-position model. The record is from RNAcentral.